GCUGGCGGCGUGCCUAACACAUGCAAGUCGAACGAGAAAGUGGAGCAAUCCAUGAGUAAAGUGGCGACCGGGUGAGUAACACGUGACUAACCUACCCUUGAGUGGGGGAUAACCUCGGGAAACCGGGGCUAAUACCGCAUAACAUCGCGAGAUCAAAGGAGCAAUCCGCUGAAGGAGGGGGUCGCGGCUGAUUAGUUAGUUGGUGAGGUAACGGCUCACCAAGACAAAGAUCAGUAGCCGGCCUGAGAGGGCGCACGGCCACACUGGAACUGAAACACGGUCCAGACUCCUACGGGAGGCAGCAGUGGGGAAUUUUGCGCAAUGGGGGAAACCCUGACGCAGCAACGCCGCGUGGAGGAUGAAGUCCCUUGGGAUGUAAACUCCUUUCGAUCGGGACGAUAAUGACGGUACCGGAAGAAGAAGCACCGGCUAACUCUGUGCCAGCAGCCGCGGUAAUACAGAGGGUGCAAGCGUCGUUCGGAAUUAUUGGGCGUAAAGGGCGCGUANGCGGUGCGGUAAGUCUGUAGUGAAAUCUCUGGGCUCAACUCA
Molecule: ribosomal RNA, 549 nt
Filed under: uncultured bacterium
Lineage: Bacteria
Description: bacterial SSU rRNA
Rfam family: Bacterial small subunit ribosomal RNA
Source: RNAcentral